This 24-nucleotide microRNA is filed under the name Tribolium castaneum (red flour beetle). RNAcentral's name for it is "Tca-Mir-971_3p (mature (co-guide))". The record is from RNAcentral. Lineage: Eukaryota; Metazoa; Arthropoda; Insecta; Coleoptera; Tenebrionidae.
UUGGUGUUCUACCUUACAGUGAGC